GGUCACAUCGCUCCUCACAUUCAGGUCAGCUCCGAGCACGACAUUCCCUCUGAUCCGAUGCAAGAGGCAAUUCCUGUAGCUGUUCUUGAUCACAGGAUGAUAUCACGUGGCUCAUCAGUUCUGUCUGGUUACUUGGUCGGGCCUACCCACUUCACUGACUACCUGGAAGGAAGUUCACGAUAUUGGUCGCCGUUUUCCUGAUGCUCAAGCUUGGGGACAAGCUAAAUUUCAAGGAGGGGGAAGUGUUAUGGUCCUGAGGAGCGUACCAGCGAAGCAAGCCAAAUCAGAGUGAGUUGAGCUAGCGCGUGAGCUGGAGAUACGAAUCUUAGGUCAGGCGUGAUAUUGUCCUGGACCGUGGCCCAUGUAAAGGAUAGCUAUAUAAAUUCUGUUGGGGAACGGUAUCCGGUUAUAGGCUAUCUCCAGCGAUAUACUCCAAAUUCCAUCCCCUAUUUCCAUCCUCCAUAUCAACUUCAUUCUCUAUACCAAAUUUAACUCCAACAACAUCCUCUAUUUCCAUCCUCUAUACUCCACAAUCUUAUUUUUCUAUCAUUUCUUCCAACGGCCGUUUCCCCCGAGCGCAACGCCCC
RNAcentral lists this long non-coding RNA (587 nucleotides) under Panicum hallii. RNAcentral describes it as "long non-coding RNA (PHAL_LNC000095)". Lineage: Eukaryota; Viridiplantae; Streptophyta; Magnoliopsida; Poales; Poaceae. The record is from RNAcentral.